This 560-nucleotide transfer RNA is filed under the name Borreliella burgdorferi (Lyme disease spirochete). RNAcentral's name for it is "partial 16S-23S ribosomal RNA intergenic spacer". The record is from RNAcentral. Lineage: Bacteria; Pseudomonadati; Spirochaetota; Spirochaetia; Spirochaetales; Borreliaceae.
GUGUAUUGAAUUUUUUAUUUUUAAUAUUAAAGAGCUUUGUUAAACUUAGACUUAAGUUUAGGUCAUUUUGGGGGUUUAGCUCAGUUGGCUAGAGCAUCGGCUUUGCAAGCCGAGGGUCAAGGGUUCGAGUCCCUUAACCUCCAUUGGGCUUAUGUCCUAAAUCGUAAUUAAGUAUGUUUUUAAGUAACUUUGUUAAAGUAAUUGUUGGAACGUGAAACAGAGGAAGUUAAAAUUUCUGGGUUAAGUUGAGAUCUGUUGAUAUUAAGAAGAAUCUCUAGAAGCAAAAGCAAGCUUUCGAUAAAACCCGAAGUUGUUUCGCUAAAGUGCAAGGAUUAAACAGGAUUGUAUUUUCCAGUAGCCUAUUUUAUAAAUGAUCUGCAUUUAGUAAAUAGUUUUUAGUUAAGAAAUAAUGUAGAUUGCUAAGUGUGAUGCCUGAAAGAAGGACAAGUAUUGUAGCGAGCCUAAAUCCUUGUUGUCGUUGCCAGUAUUUAGUGGUAGGGAUUCGGAUAAGACUGCCAUUUAUAAGUUGGAGGAAGGCAAAGAUUGCAUUAAAUCGUUMU